This 3006-nucleotide ribosomal RNA is filed under the name Yersinia ruckeri. RNAcentral describes it as "23S ribosomal RNA". It matches the Rfam family "Bacterial large subunit ribosomal RNA". The record is from RNAcentral. Lineage: Bacteria; Pseudomonadati; Pseudomonadota; Gammaproteobacteria; Enterobacterales; Yersiniaceae.
GGUUAAGCGACUAAGCGUACACGGUGGAUGCCUAGGCAGUCAGAGGCGAUGAAGGGCGUGCUAAUCUGCGAAAAGCGUCGGUAAGCUGAUAUGAAGCGUAAUAACCGACGAUACCCGAAUGGGGAAACCCAGUGCAAUUCGUUGCACUAUUGCAUGGUGAAUACAUAGCCAUGCAAGGCGAACCGGGGGAACUGAAACAUCUAAGUACCCCGAGGAAAAGAAAUCAACCGAGAUUCCCCCAGUAGCGGCGAGCGAACGGGGAAGAGCCCAGAGUCUGAAUCAGUUGGUGUGUUAGUGGAAGCGUCUGGAAAGUCGCACGGUACAGGGUGAUAGUCCCGUACACAAAAACACACUGGCUGUGAACUCGAUGAGUAGGGCGGGACACGUGACAUCCUGUCUGAAUAUGGGGGGACCAUCCUCCAAGGCUAAAUACUCCUGACUGACCGAUAGUGAACCAGUACCGUGAGGGAAAGGCGAAAAGAACCCCGGCGAGGGGAGUGAAAUAGAACCUGAAACCGUGUACGUACAAGCAGUGGGAGCACCUUCGUGGUGUGACUGCGUACCUUUUGUAUAAUGGGUCAGCGACUUAUAUUUUGUAGCAAGGUUAACCGAAUAGGGGAGCCGUAGGGAAACCGAGUCUUAACUGGGCGUCUAGUUGCAAGGUAUAGACCCGAAACCCGGUGAUCUAGCCAUGGGCAGGUUGAAGGUUGGGUAACACUAACUGGAGGACCGAACCGACUAAUGUUGAAAAAUUAGCGGAUGACUUGUGGCUGGGGGUGAAAGGCCAAUCAAACCGGGAGAUAGCUGGUUCUCCCCGAAAGCUAUUUAGGUAGCGCCUCGUGAACUCAUCUUCGGGGGUAGAGCACUGUUUCGGCUAGGGGUCCAUCCCGGAUUACCAAACCGAUGCAAACUCCGAAUACCGAAGAAUGUUAUCACGGGAGACACACGGCGGGUGCUAACGUCCGUCGUGAAGAGGGAAACAACCCAGACCGCCAGCUAAGGUCCCAAAGUCAUGGUUAAGUGGGAAACGAUGUGGGAAGGCAUAGACAGCCAGGAUGUUGGCUUAGAAGCAGCCAUCAUUUAAAGAAAGCGUAAUAGCUCACUGGUCGAGUCGGCCUGCGCGGAAGAUGUAACGGGGCUAAACCAUGCACCGAAGCUGCGGCAGCGACGCUUAGGCGUUGUUGGGUAGGGGAGCGUUCUGUAAGCCGUUGAAGGUGGCCUGUGAGGGCUGCUGGAGGUAUCAGAAGUGCGAAUGCUGACAUAAGUAACGAUAAUGCGGGUGAAAAACCCGCACGCCGGAAGACCAAGGGUUCCUGUCCAACGUUAAUCGGGGCAGGGUGAGUCGACCCCUAAGGCGAGGCUGAAAAGCGUAGUCGAUGGGAAACAGGUUAAUAUUCCUGUACUGGGUGUGACUGCGAAGGGGGGACGGAGAAGGCUAGGCUAGCCGGGCGACGGUUGUCCCGGUUUAAGCAUGUAGGCGGAGUNNNNNNNNNNNNNNNNNNNNNNNNNNNNNNNNNNNNNNNNNNNNNNNNNNNNNNNNNNNNNNNNNNNNNNNNNNNNNNNNNNNNNNNNNNNNNNNNNNUGACUUGGUAAAUCCGGUUGCUUAUCAACGCUGAGGUGUGAUGACGAGCCACUACGGUGGUGAAGUAGUUGAUGCCAAGCUUCCAGGAAAAGCCUCUAAGCAUCAGGUGACAUUCAAUCGUACCCCAAACCGACACAGGUGGUCAGGUAGAGAAUACUCAGGCGCUUGAGAGAACUCGGGUGAAGGAACUAGGCAAAAUGGUGCCGUAACUUCGGGAGAAGGCACGCUGGCAUUAGGUAAAGAGACUUGCUCUCGGCGCCGAAGCCAGUCGCAGAUACCAGCUGGCUGCAACUGUUUAAUAAAAACACAGCACUGUGCAAACACGAAAGUGGACGUAUACGGUGUGACGCCUGCCCGGUGCUGGAAGGUUAAUUGAUGGGGUCAGCCGCAAGGCGAAGCUCUUGAUCGAAGCCCCAGUAAACGGCGGCCGUAACUAUAACGGUCCUAAGGUAGCGAAAUUCCUUGUCGGGUAAGUUCCGACCUGCACGAAUGGCGUAAUGAUGGCCAGGCUGUCUCCACCCGAGACUCAGUGAAAUUGAACUCGCUGUGAAGAUGCAGUGUACCCGCGGCAAGACGGAAAGACCCCGUGAACCUUUACUAUAGCUUGACACUGAAUAUUGAGCCUUGAUGUGUAGGAUAGGUGGGAGGCAUCGAAGCGUGGACGCCAGUCUGCGUGGAGCCAACCUUGAAAUACCACCCUUUAAUGUUUGAUGUUCUAACUCGGCCCCAUAAUCUGGGGUGAGGACAGUGUCUGGUGGGUAGUUUGACUGGGGCGGUCUCCUCCCAAAGAGUAACGGAGGAGCACGAAGGUUAGCUAAUCACGGUCGGACAUCGUGAGGUUAGUGCAAAGGCAUAAGCUAGCUUGACUGCGAGAGUGACGGCUCGAGCAGGUACGAAAGUAGGUCUUAGUGAUCCGGUGGUUCUGAAUGGAAGGGCCAUCGCUCAACGGAUAAAAGGUACUCCGGGGAUAACAGGCUGAUACCGCCCAAGAGUUCAUAUCGACGGCGGUGUUUGGCACCUCGAUGUCGGCUCAUCACAUCCUGGGGCUGAAGUAGGUCCCAAGGGUAUGGCUGUUCGCCAUUUAAAGUGGUACGCGAGCUGGGUUUAGAACGUCGUGAGACAGUUCGGUCCCUAUCUGCCGUGGGCGUUGGAAGAUUGAGAGGGGCUGCUCCUAGUACGAGAGGACCGGAGUGGACGCAUCACUGGUGUUCGGGUUGUCAUGCCAAUGGCAUUGCCCGGUAGCUAAAUGCGGAAAAGAUAAGCGCUGAAAGCAUCUAAGCGCGAAACUUGCCUCGAGAUGAGUCUUCCCUGGGGCUUUAAGCCCCCUGAAGGAACGUUAAAGACUAUGACGUUGAUAGGCUGGGUGUGUAAGUGCAGCGAUGCAUUGAGCUAACCAGUACUAAUGAUCCGUGAGGCUUAACCUU